Molecule: transfer RNA, 27 nt
Filed under: Leposoma baturitensis
Lineage: Eukaryota; Metazoa; Chordata; Lepidosauria; Squamata; Gymnophthalmidae
Description: partial tRNA-His
Source: RNAcentral
GUUUUUAUAGUUUAUACAAAACACUAG